Molecule: ribosomal RNA, 1343 nt
Filed under: uncultured bacterium
Lineage: Bacteria
Description: 16S ribosomal RNA
Rfam family: Bacterial small subunit ribosomal RNA
Source: RNAcentral
GACGAACGCUGGCGGCGUGCUUAACACAUGCAAGUCGAACGGAAAGGCCCUGCUUUUGUGGGGUGCUCGAGUGGCGAACGGGUGAGUAACACGUGAGUAACCUGCCCUUGACUUUGGGAUAACUUCAGGAAACUGGGGCUAAUACCGGAUAGGAGCUCCUGCUGCAUGGUGGGGGUUGGAAAGUUUCGGCGGUUGGGGAUGGACUCGCGGCUUAUCAGCUUGUUGGUGGGGUAGUGGCUUACCAAGGCUUUGACGGGUAGCCGGCCUGAGAGGGUGACCGGCCACAUUGGGACUGAGAUACGGCCCAGACUCCUACGGGAGGCAGCAGUGGGGAAUAUUGCACAAUGGGCGGAAGCCUGAUGCAGCAACGCCGCGUGCGGGAUGACGGCCUUCGGGUUGUAAACCGCUUUCGCCUGUGACGAAGCGUGAGUGACGGUAAUGGGUAAAGAAGCACCGGCUAACUACGUGCCAGCAGCCGCGGUGAUACGUAGGGUGCGAGCGUUGUCCGGAUUUAUUGGGCGUAAAGGGCUCGUAGGUGGUUGAUCGCGUCGGAAGUGUAAUCUUGGGGCUUAACCCUGAGCGUGCUUUCGAUACGGGUUGACUUGAGGAAGGUAGGGGAGAAUGGAAUUCCUGGUGGAGCGGUGGAAUGCGCAGAUAUCAGGAGGAACACCAGUGGCGAAGGCGGUUCUCUGGGCCUUUCCUGACGCUGAGGAGCGAAAGCGUGGGGAGCGAACAGGCUUAGAUACCCUGGUAGUCCACGCUGUAAACGGUGGGUACUAGGUGUGAGGUCCAUUCCACGGGUUCCGUGCCGUAGCUAACGCUUUAAGUACCCCGCCUGGGGAGUACGGCCGCAAGGCUAAAACUCAAAGGAAUUGACGGGGCCCCGCACAAGCGGCGGAGCAUGCGGAUUAAUUCGAUGCAACGCGUAGAACCUUACCUGGGUUUGACAUGGAUCGGGAGUGCUCAGAGAUGGGUGUGCCUCUUUUGGGGUCGGUUCACAGGUGGUGCAUGGCUGUCGUCAGCUCGUGUCGUGAGAUGUUGGGUUAAGUCCCGCAACGAGCGCAACCCUUGUUCACUGUUGCCAGCACGUUAUGGUGGGGACUCAGUGGAGACCGCCGGGGUCAACUCGGAGGAAGGUGGGGAUGACGUCAAGUCAUCAUGCCCCUUAUGUCCAGGGCUUCACGCAUGCUACAAUGGCUGGUACAGAGAGUGGCGAGCCUGUGAGGGUGAGCGAAUCUCGGAAAGCCGGUCUCAGUUCGGAUUGGGGUCUGCAACUCGACCUCAUGAAGUCGGAGUCGCUAGUAAUCGCAGAUCAGCAACGCUGCGGUGAAUACGUUCCCGGG